This 2503-nucleotide ribosomal RNA is filed under the name Citrobacter freundii. Its description in RNAcentral is "bacterial LSU rRNA". It matches the Rfam family "Bacterial large subunit ribosomal RNA", at positions 322 to 2812 of the family's 2925-position model. Lineage: Bacteria; Pseudomonadati; Pseudomonadota; Gammaproteobacteria; Enterobacterales; Enterobacteriaceae. The record is from RNAcentral.
UUGUGUGUUAGUGGAACGGUCUGGAAAGUCCGACGGUACAGGGUGAUAGUCCCGUACACCAAAAUGCACAGGUUGUGAACUCGAAGAGUAGGGCGGGACACGUGGUAUCCUGUCUGAAUAUGGGGGGACCAUCCUCCAAGGCUAAAUACUCCUGACUGACCGAUAGUGAACCAGUACCGUGAGGGAAAGGCGAAAAGAACCCCGGCGAGGGGAGUGAAAAAGAACCUGAAACCGUGUACGUACAAGCAGUGGGAGCCUCUUUAUGGGGUGACUGCGUACCUUUUGUAUAAUGGGUCAGCGACUUAUAUUCUGUAGCAAGGUUAACCGUAUAGGGGAGCCGAAGGGAAACCGAGUCUUAACUGGGCGUUAAGUUGCAGGGUAUAGACCCGAAACCCGGUGAUCUAGCCAUGGGCAGGUUGAAGGUUGGGUAACACUAACUGGAGGACCGAACCGACUAAUGUUGAAAAAUUAGCGGAUGACUUGUGGCUGGGGGUGAAAGGCCAAUCAAACCGGGAGAUAGCUGGUUCUCCCCGAAAGCUAUUUAGGUAGCGCCUCGUGAAUUCAUCUUCGGGGGUAGAGCACUGUUUCGGCUAGGGGGUCAUCCCGACUUACCAACCCGAUGCAAACUGCGAAUACCGAAGAAUGUUAUCACGGGAGACACACGGCGGGUGCUAACGUCCGUCGUGAAGAGGGAAACAACCCAGACCGCCAGCUAAGGUCCCAAAGUCAUGGUUAAGUGGGAAACGAUGUGGGAAGGCACAGACAGCCAGGAUGUUGGCUUAGAAGCAGCCAUCAUUUAAAGAAAGCGUAAUAGCUCACUGGUCGAGUCGGCCUGCGCGGAAGAUGUAACGGGGCUAAACCAUGCACCGAAGCUGCGGCAGCGACACUAUGUGUUGUUGGGUAGGGGAGCGUUCUGUAAGCCGUUGAAGGUGGCCUGUGAGGGUGCUGGAGGUAUCAGAAGUGCGAAUGCUGACAUAAGUAACGAUAAUGCGGGUGAAAAACCCGCACGCCGGAAGACCAAGGGUUCCUGUCCAACGUUAAUCGGGGCAGGGUGAGUCGACCCCUAAGGCGAGGCCGAAAGGCGUAGUCGAUGGGAAACAGGUUAAUAUUCCUGUACUUGGUGUUACUGCGAAGGGGGGACGGAGAAGGCUAUGUUAGCCGGGCGACGGUUGUCCCGGUUUAAGCAUGUAGGCGGAGGUUCCAGGUAAAUCCGGUACCUUUUUAACGCUGAGGUGUGAUGACGAGGCACUACGGUGCUGAAGUAACAAAUGCCCUGCUUCCAGGAAAAGCCUCUAAGCAUCAGGUAACACGAAAUCGUACCCCAAACCGACACAGGUGGUCAGGUAGAGAAUACCAAGGCGCUUGAGAGAACUCGGGUGAAGGAACUAGGCAAAAUGGUGCCGUAACUUCGGGAGAAGGCACGCUGAUAUGUAGGUGAAGUGAUUUACUCAUGGAGCUGAAAUCAGUCGAAGAUACCAGCUGGCUGCAACUGUUUAUUAAAAACACAGCACUGUGCAAACACGAAAGUGGACGUAUACGGUGUGACGCCUGCCCGGUGCCGGAAGGUUAAUUGAUGGGGUUAUCCGUAAGGAGAAGCUCUUGAUCGAAGCCCCGGUAAACGGCGGCCGUAACUAUAACGGUCCUAAGGUAGCGAAAUUCCUUGUCGGGUAAGUUCCGACCUGCACGAAUGGCGUAAUGAUGGCCAGGCUGUCUCCACCCGAGACUCAGUGAAAUUGAACUCGCUGUGAAGAUGCAGUGUACCCGCGGCAAGACGGAAAGACCCCGUGAACCUUUACUAUAGCUUGACACUGAACACUGGUCCUUGAUGUGUAGGAUAGGUGGGAGGCUUUGAAGUGUGGACGCCAGUCUGCAUGGAGCCAUCCUUGAAAUACCACCCUUUAAUGGCUGGUGUUCUAACGUGGACCCGUAUCCGGGUUGCGGACAGUGUCUGGUGGGUAGUUUGACUGGGGCGGUCUCCUCCUAAAGAGUAACGGAGGAGCACGAAGGUUAGCUAAUCCUGGUCGGACAUCAGGAGGUUAGUGCAAAGGCAUAAGCUAGCUUGACUGCGAGAGUGACGGCUCGAGCAGGUGCGAAAGCAGGUCUUAGUGAUCCGGUGGUUCUGAAUGGAAGGGCCAUCGCUCAACGGAUAAAAGGUACUCCGGGGAUAACAGGCUGAUACCGCCCAAGAGUUCAUAUCGACGGCGGUGUUUGGCACCUCGAUGUCGGCUCAUCACAUCCUGGGGCUGAAGUAGGUCCCAAGGGUAUGGCUGUUCGCCAUUUAAAGUGGUACGCGAGCUGGGUUUAGAACGUCGUGAGACAGUUCGGUCCCUAUCUGCCGUGGGCGCUGGAGAAUUGAGGGGGGCUGCUCCUAGUACGAGAGGACCGGAGUGGACGCAUCACUGGUGUUCGGGUUGUCAUGCCAAUGGCAUUGCCCGGUAGCUAAAUGCGGAAGAGAUAAGUGCUGAAAGCAUCUAAGCACGAAACUUGCCCCGAGAUGAGUUCU